RNAcentral lists this long non-coding RNA (301 nucleotides) under Elaeis guineensis (African oil palm). RNAcentral's name for it is "long non-coding RNA (EGUI_LNC057884)". The record is from RNAcentral. Lineage: Eukaryota; Viridiplantae; Streptophyta; Magnoliopsida; Arecales; Arecaceae.
GAAACUUUUUCAAGAUCAUACAGCGGAAGACUAAAAUAAAUCAAAAUUUAUUUUCUAAGAUCAAAAAAUCCCUAGAUCUAAGAUCCUAUUACAUGAUUAUUACAUAGCAUUAAAUCAAAAAUUAAAAUAUAUAUAAAUAUAGUAUGAACUACAUGUUGAUCAUAUCAACAUGUUUCUAUGCUAGCUGCAUCUAAUGUAUGUAUUAAAUAAUAGAUCAGAUCUAUUACCUUGCAAGUUAGAUGCUCUAACCUCGCUGAUCCGGGCUUAAGGAUGAUGUUACAAGCCGCACACGCAUCCNNNN